RNAcentral lists this long non-coding RNA (5305 nucleotides) under Salmo salar (Atlantic salmon). RNAcentral describes it as "lncRNA (ENSSSAG00000084705.1)". The record is from RNAcentral. Lineage: Eukaryota; Metazoa; Chordata; Actinopteri; Salmoniformes; Salmonidae.
UUUAUCAUCAUUUUAACUUUUUAUUUUUUAAUAAUAAUAUUAAUGGACCAACAUACUAAAAAAUCUCAAAAUAGAUAAGAACAUGCAAAAAGGUCAUUUUAGCCUCUGGCCUUAAUCAGUAUUUUUAAGGACACCAACUGCUGUGUGAACAAUAACGACAGAACUGCUGGAGCGGUAGUACAGCGUGUUGGAGUAGAUAAGAGACUGCUUUGUCAUCUGGUUGGAUGGAGGGAGGACAACAUGCGAUGUAACAGUUGACCCCAACUGCUUCCAAACAGUAGGCUACUGCAUAGCAGUUGAAAGAGGGUUAAUAAAACAAACAAUAAUAAAUACUUUUGGAUUAAACAAAUUAACCAAAUUAUAUUCCUGCCAUUUUACAUUCAUCUUUGUGUGUCAAUUAACCUGAUUAUAGACUUUCCCUAGCUCUUGAUCAUGACUCUGUUCCAUUGCCUUACACAUGUCUUUUGUUAAGCAAUAUGAUCAUAUCAGCGAUAAAUAAUUUUUGUUAAAUUGAUACUCACCUUUGUAGGGGUAGGGCUAGUGUUCCCACACGGCCAUAUAUCCAUGUUACAGCUCGUGUUUAUGGAAGACCGAGGCUGCGUUUCAAACUCAUAAAAGACACACACUCCUCCACUUACCCUCGCCUUAUGCACUUGAGGGAAUCCCCGCGGCCAUCUUUGUCGUUGGUCCAAAUGAUUAGCCAAUCAAGGAAAGUUGACAACGUAAGCCCCUCAGCCCUCAUUUUUGAUCGAGUUUGCGAGUGUACAAUUAUGUUCACUCCGGGGCCUGAAAAGCCCCAUAAUUCAAUUUGCGAUUAUUGUACAUCCGCUAAGUCAGGCAAAAUGUAAAACAAUCAUUACUAUGGAGAAGUCAGCAUGCAAGUGAUGGGUACCAAAGCUAAAGUGCACAUGUACCAUCAUGGAUACCUUACAAGGAGGAAGUGAAUGAUAUAGUGAAUGAUAAGUGAAAUGAUCUGUAAACAAUUGUUGGAAAAAUUACUUGUCAUGCACAAAGUAGAUGUCCUAACCGACUUGCCAAAACUAUAGUUUGUUAACAAGAAAUUUGUGGAGGGGUUGAAUAAUGAGUUUUAAUGACUCCAACCUAAGUGUAUGUAAACUUCUGACUUCAACUGUAAAAUGAUAUUCUACUAACUGUAAAUGAAUUAAUGUAGACAUAGAUAUGAUGACUCGACUCUUUAGCCAAUCAAACUGUAAAGGCUUCGUGCAGUUAACUAAAUCUCAGAGGUUCAUUGCUUGGAAUCAUGUGUAGAGAGAACUUAGUCUGUUGGGAAGGCUGAAUUUGAUUUCCACUUUGUUGCAUGAGAGACCAUUUGAUUACCUUGCACAGAUGCCUGUUGUCAAGUAGAGAACAGCAGGCCCAUCUCUCCUCUUAAUAACAUUCUGGAAUGCACCCAUCCCUUCUGGCCAUCAUGGGGUGUCAGCACUGCAAGAGACAACAUAAAAGAGAUGUCAUCUUCACUGUUUGAAUCUACUUGGUGGGGACGAUCAGUGAUGGUCCUGUACUAUGAAUCAUUUUCACCUGUGGAGUUUCAUGACCUGCCCCCCGAGGUGAAGCAGUGGGAUGGACCGAGACAUCGAUAAUUAGGGUCAUUAGCCAGGGCUGGGAAGCUUCCCACUGGACACAGAUGUCAGUUCAUCAUCUAGUUUUGAUUUACAUUUGAUUGAGUUGUCAGCUAACAUGAAUUCAACAUGAAAUUAACAAAAAAUGUCACAAGGUCAUUGGAUUUAGGUUAAAAGUUGAGAGAAAAAAAUACUAAAUUCCAUUUACGUUGAUGACUUUUUUUCAAAUUCAAUCAGUUUUCCAUGUUGAUUCAACGUCGUCAUAUAAAAUGUUGGGGUUGAAAUGACAUGGAAACAAUAUUGAUUCAACCAGUUUUUGCCCAGUGGGUUGUGGUUUGACUGUCAACAAUAAGUGUCAUCACAAACAGGUUUGUCGAGGACCUAUUGUGAAAAAGGCUUUCUCUGGCAGGUGUAGAUUUAAUUAUGUUCCCACUAGAAACGAGGCAAGCCUGCUAACUGACUUAACGUGUACAUCCCGUCAUGCCAAUACAGAAUAGGAGAAAUCCUGUCGCUUCUCUUAUUUUUCACAUUUAUAAAACUGAGCUCAUUUAGGCCCCUUCAGUUGAUUAUUCUGUCUGUAAAUUAUUGUAAUAUGGUGCAAAAAUAUCUACUUAAUAUGAAGCCUAUAUACUGGAGAUGAUAAAGCAAUGCCACGAAUGGAGAAAAGUCAAGUCAUGUGAAUAUGCCCAACAGCGCCCCUACACUCCUGGGAAGUAUCCUACAUGGUGUUUUGGUUUGUUUACAUCUAGGUAUAUCAAGUGCGCACUGUCAUGCAAUCACAACACCACAUAUGUCAGUAUGGCCUUCAUUCACAUAACAGUCAUAAGAUUCAUAUUAAUAUAAGUAAGUAGCACGCAUAGUCCUUUUAUAAACGCGAACUUAUUAUAAACAUGACUAUAGUCUACAGUAACUUCAUUUAAUCAGUAACAACUUGUUUGUAAACAACUACUUUUUUUGUUAUUUUUCUGUCUCGUUUUUAUUAUUGGGCUCUGUUGUGUUUGAUGUUUUAUACCGCCAUGAGGAAAUAAGUAGUGACCAUGCCAAUAUUAAGUGCAAGUGCGUAACAUCCUCCUCGCUCCUAUUUACGCACAUCCAUCUCUUGCGCAGCAUCCUAUUCCCAAUCCCCGCUUCACGCUCCAUCUCGUCGCCAACAGUUUUAGCCUGCCUAACAUUCCUCUAUCCAAAACAAAUAGCAUGAAGCCGAUUACUUAAUAUAGGCUAUGUUUCUGAGGGUUUCCAGUAUCUGCGGCGUAGGCUACAAUUCCCACCGGAUUCCAUUGCAUUUGUCACAAUAGCACUCGCUCUGACGCAGACAAAUGUAACUAUUUACCUGUCGCUCAUAAUUGAGAAUGGUAAUUGUAUUCGAUUAGUUUACUACCUCCACUAUAUGUAUCGUUUACUAAAUUGGCAUUUUCAUAUUUAUUUGAAAGUGAAGAGCAUUUUAAGAGGACCAUAUCCACAAUCACUAUAUUAUAGGCUAUAUCAGAUUUGUUUAUAGAUGUUUGUGAUAACACAUUGUAUUAGUUAAAUGUGUCGUUACAACAUCGUUUGCAUUAGGCUACUGAAAUUGGCAACACGUUUCUGUAAUUCCUAGAAUAAAAUUAUGAUUUAGCCUGAUAGCUUACCUCAACGUAUGUCUUCUUUCCUCCCUUGGCGACCCUUUCGGUUAGAUCAUGUUUUCAAUAACUGGAUAGCACCUGUUUCCAUGAAGCACCCCUCACAUUAUUACAGUAUCCCCAUCGAUUUUUCCAUAGCGCAACACGAGAAGCCCGCCCCUGACACUCCCCCUUCUGCUGGUUGGCCAGGCCUUGGUGAAUUAUUUUGCCUACGUCGGAAUCACAUGUGGUUGACGCAUGUUUACAAACAUUGGAUGAGAUCACAUGGUGAUGGGACCCAGUUUACAGUAAACCAUUCGACAUUAAGCAUAAAUUAGUGCUCGUCUGCUUGUAGGCCUAAAAACCGAAAUGAGUUACCUCUGGUUCUUUCGGACAUUCCUAUGGGGAAAGUUGAUGGCGUUUUGGGAUAAACACCGAAAAUAAAGUAUAAGGGUAACAAAGGCUUAGGAGAUCUUAUACGUUUUGUUCUAUGAAAUAAUAUCAGUCAGUCAACAUUACCUGUAUGAAUUAUUAAGCCUUUAUGUGCUUGUUUUGAUUAAACAAAUGCUUCAAAAAGUUAGCUGAUUUAAGAUUAUCUCAUAGAACUAAAAACGUCUAAGAUCUCCUAAGCAUGUGUUUACAAUAGACCGUAUUUUCGGUGUUCAUCAAAAAACCGUCAGAAACCUCAUUAAUUGACCAACUAGCCAUGCAGGACUUAGUGCCUACAAAAAUACUGCAUUACUAUAGCUCGCCAGACUGUAGUCCUAAAAAAACGGAAAUGAAACCUCUGGUUCGUUCCGCCAUUACUAAGGCAUUGUGAAUGCAGAAAAUAAGGUAUGAGGUUAAGAGAUCUUAUACAUUUUGUUCUAUAUUAUUAUUAUUAUUAUUAUUAUUAUUAUUAUAACAGUCAGUUAAAACAUGACCUGUAUGAAUUUUGAAGCCAUUAUGUGCUUAUUUUGAUUACGUAAAUGCUUCAAAAUUCACAAAAAGUGAUGUUAGCCGAUGAAUAUUAUCUCAGAGAACAAAACGUAUAGGUCUACAAAGCCUGUGUUUACAACAGACCUUCUUUUCCGGAUUCAUCCAAAAACCCUACAAAAUCCCAUUAAUUUCCGUUAGUGCCUACAAAAAGACGGCAUUACUAUUGCUCUCUAUACUAGUAGUUGUAAAGUAUUAUAUAAUCCCUUCGGCCUCAAAAUAAACAUUCACAUGGCUAUACUAUUGCCUUUAACAUGUUUAUAAUAGGUCUAUGGGAUUCUAUAAGCUUAUAGUAGGAUGGUAUAAGGUACAAAAGCAUUUUUCAGAUAUUAAAAUGUAUUACAUAAGUAUUACACAAUGUCUAAUGUUCUUGGAGAAAGUGGUACUUGAUGUUCUGUUCCCUCCUGUUUUGGUAUGCGGCAGCGGGAGAAAAAUUUGUGCCAGCCAGGGAGUUCGAUUUAGCUCGCCCGGGUUUCCCCAUAGAGAGGAGCUUACCCAGAGUUAAAACGGAUUGUAUUCGUUUUGAAACCGAGCUGCCUUCCGGGAAUGAGCCGGAUGCCCCUUUGAAUGCCGACGGCGAAGUCGGCGGGGGAAAAAAGUGUAUGUCAAGCAUAUGGAGUAAUGAGUUUGGAUUCAGUAUUUUCACGUGCAAAAGUGUAAAAACGCAUAAGCUGCCUUUCCAAGGAAAACUACUUUGAAAAUGUUAACGUGUUUUAUAUUUCUCAAAGAUUCGUCAUGCUGUUUUGUUGUCAUUAAGGCCUGGUGAUUCUCGAUUUGAGUCGGGUGCUCCUCCCUCACCGCUUUUGCCUCGUAAUGUGCCGUUUUUAGCCCAGUUCACCCCGGUUCAGUCUAAUCCAACUCCCUUAGUGUCCCUGAACUGUUAUUGUAAUUCCUUCUUCAAUACAGCAGAGGGCAAUAUAAUACAGAGGAGACACUGGCCUACACAAGUUGCCAUUACUUUGCUGCGUAGUUUGAUUUGAACAGCCAUACGAAGUAACAGGCCCCAUAUCUCAUUUUCUGAUCGAAGGGUUUUGUCUAGCUUUGUGUGUUCUUUGCAUCUCUAUCCCUGUGCAUUUUUACAACAAAUGAAAAUCAAAACACAUUCAUAAUUUGAUAAAAAAUCAUUGCUGACUUUUUGGUGGUAUGAUUACUGGC